GGUUAUUUUUAUAUUUAUGAAAAGCGUGAGGAGAAUUCUCAACUCGAGAUGUUAGAAGGUGCAAAAUCAAUUGGUGCCGGAGCUGCUACAAUUGCUUCAGCGGGAGCUGCUAUCGGUAUUGGAAACGUCCUUAGUUCCUCGAUUCAUUCCGUGGCGCGAAAUCCAUCAUUGGCUAAACAAUUAUUUGGUUAUGCCAUUUGCCCUUGAAAUUAUAUAACG
RNAcentral lists this long non-coding RNA (219 nucleotides) under Olea europaea subsp. europaea. Lineage: Eukaryota; Viridiplantae; Streptophyta; Magnoliopsida; Lamiales; Oleaceae. The record is from RNAcentral.